Molecule: transfer RNA, 75 nt
Filed under: Streptomyces sp. ADI95-16
Lineage: Bacteria; Bacillati; Actinomycetota; Actinomycetes; Kitasatosporales; Streptomycetaceae
Description: tRNA-Thr
Source: RNAcentral
AGCUGCGCGAGACCCCGGGGCUGGUGGUGCCUCUGGUGGAGGAGCUGCUGCGGUUCGAGCCCCCGGUGCAGCUGC